CUGUUUGGUCUCCUUUGUUUUUCACAUGUUCUCAUUUCUCUGAUUGAAUUUUUUCUUUUUUUUUUCCCAAAUCACCACCAACGCAUUUAUUUGUGGGAGAAAGGGUCAGAUCUUAUUAGGUACUUUAAACUGGAUAUGACUAGAGACAUGGGUCUGCCUAACAUCUGAGAGUUCACGAUUGCACAGAUAACCAUAUCCUGCAUGUGAGGCAUCACCGUGGGGCAUCACCCAACCUUGACCUUGACCAGGAUUGGCUGGGGGUGAGGGGGGAUACAUUCUGAGCAGUCAUACGAUUUCCCAUUUAGAAUGUGCUGUCUUCUCAGACAAGUAGUGUUGAGAAAAACAAAGAUAGGCUCCUAGCCAAGGCCUGGACAUGAUGGCCCUGGUGAAAGGGGCUCACAUCCUAUUUACAAAGCAAGAGGGCGAAGCUCCCAGCUGAGCUGCACGAUGAGAGCAGGGGUGACUUGAAAGGUGAUUCAGCUUACCCCAGGGCAAACCACGCUCCUGAUGACACCCAGUGGAAAAGCAGGCUGGAGCCUUGGAAGAGCUGGCCCUGCACACUCAGGUACUUCCAGAGGUGGAUCCAAGAUUUGAAUACUGGGGACCAAGGAGGGAGCCCAGCCUGCAGCCCGCAGUCCUUCCUGGCCAAGAAAUCACCAACCAGCAGGAAGGAGGAGGUCAGCAGGCUCACUGCAAUCCCCAUCAGAAAUUUGGUGUCAGCCCAGAUGGCCAGCGCCUGGCUGAACUGGGAACCUAGAUUCUGGUCGUUCCCCAGCCACCCCCCCAGGGCAUCACUCACGCUGUCAUCCACUAGGUAGGCACUGAUGAAGUGGGCCAGCAGGUUACAGCCCCACAAGAAAAUCUCCCAGGAGGUGGGGGUUUAAGCAUAUAAAGAAUCCCAGCAGGCCCUCUUCUUUAAAAAUCUUCCCAGUGGAGGUCAGCACACCACUGGACUUGGCCUCCCAUCCCACAAACUGGACUAUGCAGCGUGCCGAGACGACUUGCAGGGGGAGGGCCAGCAUGUGCGACCACCCAUGGCAUCAUCAUCGCGUAGGAGGUCUCCUUCAGCA
This is a long non-coding RNA of Bos indicus x Bos taurus (hybrid cattle), 1070 nucleotides long. The record is from Ensembl. Lineage: Eukaryota; Metazoa; Chordata; Mammalia; Artiodactyla; Bovidae.